CAGUAGCCGCGGGAAUACGAAGGGGGCUAGCGUUGUUCGGAUUUACUGGGCGUAAAGCGCACGUAGGCGGACUUUUAAGUCAGGGGUGAAAUCCCGGGGCUCAACCCCGGAACUGCCUUUGAUACUGGAAGUCUUGAGUAUGGUAGAGGUGAGUGGAAUUCCGAGUGUAGAGGUGAAAUUCGUAGAUAUUCGGAAGAACACCAGUGGCGAAGGCGACUGACUGGACAAGUAUUGACGCUGAGGUGCGAAAGCGUGGGGAGCAAACAGGAUUAGAUACCCCUGUAGUCCCUGUCUCUUAUAC
Molecule: ribosomal RNA, 301 nt
Filed under: uncultured bacterium
Lineage: Bacteria
Description: partial 16S ribosomal RNA
Rfam family: Bacterial small subunit ribosomal RNA
Source: RNAcentral